UAGCAACACAACAUGACAACAACAUGGUAGCAACACAACAUGGUAGAAGCACAACAUGUUAGCAGCACAACAUGGUAGCAGCACAACAUUAUUGGGCACAGACAACAGCACACAGGGCAAGAAGGUAGAGACAACAAUACAUCACGUGAAGCAGCCACAAGUGUUAGGAAGAUUAUCAACAUAGUUGUUUUCUAACAGCGAGGCAGCACUGCAUAGUGAAUGUGUCACAAUGUCUAAUUAUACAGUGUGUGAGUUUGUGUGUAUGUGUGUGUGUGUCUGUGUUUGUGUGUAUGUGCGUGUGUUUGUGUGUGUUCUUCAUUGUGACGUGACAGAAAAUUGGGGGAAAUUGUGUGUGUGUGAGAGAAAGAGAGAAAGAAAGAGUAGUGCACUGUUGUUUAUUAUCUAUUUCACUUGCUGUGGCAAUGUAAACGUGUUUGCCAUGCCAAUGAAGCCCUUAAAUUGAAUUGAGAGAGACGAAAAAGGCAACAAGGCAGAGACAAAGAGAGAAAAGGAAGAUAGAAUAAUGGAGAGUCAGAGAUAGCCAGAUCGAAGAGAGACAGAAGAGAAGGAGAGACACAAAUAGAACAGACAGAUUGAGAAAGAGACAAGAUUAGAGGGACAAAUGAGACAACAGAGAAAUACAACAUGAGGAACAGGUGACUGUGUCUGAGGAAGACGUGAUUAUAUCUGAGGAACAGGUGAUUGUGUCUUUGGAACACGUGAUUGUAUCUGAGGAACACGUGAUUGUGUCUUAGGAACAGGUGAUUGUGUCUGAGGAACAGGUGAUUGUGUCUGAGAAACAGGGGAUUGUGUCUGAGGAACAGGUGAUUGUGUCUGAGGAACAGGUGAUUGUGUCUUUGGAACAAGUGAUUGUGUCUGAGGAACAGGUGAUUGUGUCUUUGGAACAGGUGAUUGUGUCUGAGGAACAGGUGAUUGUGUCUGAGGAACAGGUGAUUGUGUUUUAGGAACAGGUGAUUGUGUCUGAGGAACACAUUAUUGUGUCUGACGAACAGGUGAUUGUGUCUUUGGAGCAGGAGAUCGUGUCUUAUUGACAGGUGAUUGUGCCUUAGGAACACCUGAUUGUUUUUGAGGCACAGGUGAUUGUGUCUGAGGAACAGGUGAUUGUUUCUUUGGAACAGGUGAUUGUGUCUGAGGAACAGGUGAUUUUGUCUGAGCAACAGGUGGUUGUGUCUUUGGAACAAGUGAUUGUGUCUGAGGAACAGGUGAUUGUGUCUGAGGAGCAUAUGAUUGUGUCUGAGGAACAGGUGAUUGUGUCUUUCGAACAGGUGAUUGUGUCUUUCGAACAGGUAAUUGUGUCUUUUGAACAGGUGAUCGUGUCUGAGGAACAGUUGAUUGUGUCUUUAGAACAGGUGAUUGUGUCUGAGGAACAGGUGAUUGUGUCUGAUCAACAGGUGAUUGUGUCUUUUGAACAGGUGAUUGUGUCUGAGGAACAGGUGAUUGUGUCUGAGCAACAGGUGGUUGUGUCUUUGGAACAAGUGAUUGUGUCUGAGGAACAGGUGAUUGUGUCUGAGGAGCAUAUGAUUGUGUCUGAGGAACAGGUGAUUGUGUCUUUCGAACAGGUGAUUGUGUCUUUCGAACAGGUAAUUGUGUCUUUUGAACAGGUGAUCGUGUCUGAGGAACAGGUGAUUGUGUCUGAGAAACACUUGAUUGUGUCUGAGGAACAGGUGAUUGUGUCUUUCUUUACAAGAACAGAAAGGGUCCAUUCAUGUCAGUCCUUCAUAUCGUACAUGACAUAUCCCAUUCCCUCUUGUUGCUUCCUCAUCAAAGAAAGACAGAGACAAAUAAGAAAAACUUUUACACGCCAAUCAAGUGGACAUUACAUUAUGUUUUCACUGGGUCUGUCCCAAGUGGCACCAUAUUCCCUUUAUAGUGCACUACUUUUGACCAGGGCCAAUAGGGAUCUGGUCAUGAGUAGUGCACUAUGUAAGUAAUAGGGUAUCAUUUGGGAUACAGCCUCAGUAUUCCACACUUUGUACUAGUUUUACUUUCUGGAGGAGAGGAAAUUUGUUUUCCAAAGAAAAGGUUCUGACUUUGAAGUUUUUGUGAGAUGGAGGGAACAGACAUUUCAUUGAAGUUGUCCUCCCUUGGCUUGGAAAAUAAAAACCUUAUAAAAGAACACUGGGUCUAGCUACUCUCAAAUGUAUCUUCCAUGAAAUGCAUAGAAAGGGAACUAACCAAGCUGCCAGAUAUGUGAAGGACCACGUUCCCUCUGUUUCUCCAGGCUCACAGUGCAAGAGAAAGAGUGUGUGUGUGUGUGUGUGUGUGUGUGUGUGUGUGUGUGUGUGUGUGUGUGUGUGUGUGUGUGUGUGUGAGUGUGUGUUCGUGAGCCAGAUCAGAGCUGUGCAAGCUCCUUUAACAUACUUUCUCAUCAGGGAUCACUUCA
This 2404-nucleotide long non-coding RNA is filed under the name Salmo salar (Atlantic salmon). RNAcentral describes it as "lncRNA (ENSSSAG00000090534.1)". Lineage: Eukaryota; Metazoa; Chordata; Actinopteri; Salmoniformes; Salmonidae. The record is from RNAcentral.